RNAcentral lists this ribosomal RNA (511 nucleotides) under uncultured bacterium. RNAcentral's name for it is "partial 16S ribosomal RNA". The record is from RNAcentral.
GGAGUUAGCCGGUGCUUCUUCUGCGAGUAACGUCACAGAUGUAAGGUAUUAACUUACACCCUUUCCUCCUCGCUGAAAGUGCUUUACAACCCGAAGGCCUUCUUCACACACGCGGCAUGGCUGCAUCAGGGUUUUCCCCCAUUGUGCAAUAUUCCCCACUGCUGCCUCCCGUAGGAGUCUGGGCCGUGUCUCAGUCCCAGUGUGGCUGAUCAUCCUCUCAGACCAGCUAGGGAUCGUCGCCUAGGUGAGCCUUUACCUCACCUACUAGCUAAUCCCACCUGGGCUUAUCCAUCAGCGCAAGGCCCGAAGGUCCCCUGCUUUCCCCCGUAGGGCGUAUGCGGUAUUAGCAGUCGUUUCCAACUGUUAUCCCCCACAAAUGGGCAAAUUCCCAGGCAUUACUCACCCGUCCGCCGCUCGUCAUCUUCAAAAGCAAGCUUUUGAAAUGUUACCGCUCGACUUGCAUGUGUUAGGCCUGCCGCCAGCGUUCAAUCUGAGCAGANACAACUACUGA